Molecule: ribosomal RNA, 253 nt
Filed under: uncultured bacterium
Lineage: Bacteria
Description: partial 16S ribosomal RNA
Rfam family: Bacterial small subunit ribosomal RNA
Source: RNAcentral
UACGAAGGGGGCAAGCGUUGUUCGGAAUUAUUGGGCGUAAAGGGCGCGUAGGCGGCCCGGUAAGUCAAAGGUGAAAUCCCUCGGCUCAACUGAGGAACUGCCUUUGAAACUGUCGGGCUUGAGGCCGGGAGGGGGUAGCGGAAUUCCCAGUGUAGCGGUGAAGUGCGUAGAUACUGGGAGGAACACCAGUGGCGAAGGCGGCUACCUGGACCGGUUCUGACGCUGAUGCGCGAAAGCGUGGGUAGCAAACAGG